UACGUAGGGCGCAAGCGUUGUCCGGAAUUAUUGGGCGUAAAGAGCUCGUAGGCGGUCUGUCGCGUCGGUUGUGAAAACACAAGGCUCAACCUUGUGCCUGCAAUCGAUACGGGCAGACUAGAGUACUGCAGGGGAGACUGGAAUUCCUGGUGUAGCGGUGGAAUGCGCAGAUAUCAGGAGGAACACCGGUGGCGAAGGCGGGUCUCUGGGCAGUAACUGACGCUGAGGAGCGAAAGCAUGGGGAGCGAACAGG
RNAcentral lists this ribosomal RNA (253 nucleotides) under uncultured bacterium. Its description in RNAcentral is "partial 16S ribosomal RNA". It matches the Rfam family "Bacterial small subunit ribosomal RNA", at positions 524 to 776 of the family's 1533-position model. The record is from RNAcentral.